CAAAUUUUUACCCCUUUGGUCUUGUACAAACACUUGAGAAAUAUCUCAGGGUGAUAGAAUGAUAAAAUGAUCGCUGGAGCUCAAUCUUAGAAGGGGAACAAUAUAUCUCAUCAUCGCUGCAACUACACCAGAGAAAUCUUUUCUUUUUCUUUGUAAACCCUUUUCUCUCUACUAUCUUCAACUAACCCUAAUCCCCAAAACCCUUAAAUUCAAUUUUGAACAAUCCUAAAUUCAUCUCUCUCGUUUCACUUUACGAUUUGCAGUAGCAAUUUUAAGGCAUUUGAUGAAGGAAACGGACUCGAAGUUGGGUGGAGCCAAGUUCGGAUUGAUGAGGUAUUACAAUCACUGGGCAAACUAGUGAGGCUGUAUUCAGAAGUGCAUCUAUUGAGGUCGUUGAAGCACAAUAACAUUGUAAGGUUCUACAAUUCCUGGAUUGAUGACAAACACAAGAAUGUUAACAAGAUAGUUAUUCACCUCAGGGAGCCUCAAACAGUGUGUUCAUUAUCCUUUGUAUAUGUGUUUAAUUUGUUUUUCUGUUUUAUUGUGAUAUUAGUCCUUUUGUUAGUUGGUUUGAUGCAUGAUUUAGGUACUGUAAGAAACACAAGAAGGUCGACAUGAGAGUAUUUGUUAAAUAUCGGACUCAGGUGUGAUUUAUUUGAAGUAUUUGUUAAAUAUCGGACAAUAUCUUGUAUUUUAAUUUGAUUUUUUAGAGUGAUUUAAAGCCUUUCAGACUUGACGAAAAACUAUGAUAUCUUAGCAGUACAGGGUCAUCUGGUUCAGUAAACUAGUUUCUAUUUACCUUUUAAGAUGGAAGUUAAAUUAGUGGAAUAUUAUUACACUUGCA
This is a long non-coding RNA of Cicer arietinum (chickpea), 844 nucleotides long. RefSeq lists it as uncharacterized. Lineage: Eukaryota; Viridiplantae; Streptophyta; Magnoliopsida; Fabales; Fabaceae. The record is from RefSeq and is a predicted model, not a curated record.